Molecule: ribosomal RNA, 465 nt
Filed under: uncultured bacterium
Lineage: Bacteria
Description: bacterial SSU rRNA
Rfam family: Bacterial small subunit ribosomal RNA
Source: RNAcentral
GGGCCCGCACAAGCGGCGGAGCAUGUGGAUUAAUUCGAUGCAACGCGAAGAACCUUACCUGGGUUUGACAUACACCAGACGUAUGUAGAGAUACAUAUUCCCUUGUGGUUGGUGUACAGGUGGUGCAUGGCUGUCGUCAGCUCGUGUCGUGAGAUGUUGGGUUAAGUCCCGCAACGAGCGCAACCCUUGUCCUGUAUUGCCAGCGGGUUAUGCCGGGGACUUGCAGGAGACUGCCGGGGUCAACUCGGAGGAAGGUGGGGACGACGUCAAGUCAUCAUGCCCCUUAUGUCCAGGGCUUCACACAUGCUACAAUGGCGCGUACAGAGGGCUGCGAUACCGCGAGGUGGAGCGAAUCCCUUAAAGCGCGUCUCAGUUCGGAUUGGGGUCUGCAACUCGACCCCAUGAAGUCGGAGUCGCUAGUAAUCGCAGAUCAGCAACGCUGCGGUGAAUACGUUCCCGGGCCUU